GUUUGACCUCGGAUCACGUAGGGAUACCCGCUGAACUUAAGCAUAUCAAUAAGCGGAGGAAAAGAAACCAACAGGGAUUGCCCUAUUAACGGCGAGUGAAGCGGCAACAGCUCAAAUUUGAAAUCUGGCUCUUUCAGAGUCCGAGUUGUAAUUUGCAGAGGGCGCUUUGUCUUUGGCAGCGGUCCAAGUUCCUUGGAGCAAGACGUCACACACGGUGAGAAUCCCGCACAUGGUCGCUAGCUAAUGCCUUGUGGGGGACCCCUCAAUCAAAUCAAGUUGAUUUGGUUAAGGAAUGCUCUCUUGUGGGGAGGGGAGAGCUACUUUCUAACGCUGAGCCUAUUUGUUAGAGGACACAAAAAGGGCGGAGCGGCGCAUAAAAAAAGAGAUAUUAAGAAAAGAGAAAUUUUGUUUUUUGAGAAAUAGAAAGCGACACAGACGUCAUGUGUGUGAUUUGUGUUAAAAAGGAGCAGCGUUGCCAAGACAAAAAAAUUAGUGUUGUGUUGGAAAUGUUGACCCCAGCAGGGGUCUUUUUUCGGCUGGGGAGGACCAACCCCGUGACUGCAAAGGGAGGCGACCAAAACAAAUAUAUUUUGGGAUGCAAGGGAGUGGAAAUGGAACGGGUUGCAUGAAGAAAAAGCUGUAUCCCCUUACUCAUGGGAGGGAGGAAAGAAAUCUUUUUGAUGGGGGGGGAGGAAGGCAUUUGAAUAAGCAAAAAAAACGAAGCCCGGGGGGAAGGUUGCGGAGGGGUUCCGGCAGAGCGGAUACCGUAGUCCCUAAAAUUGAAUUUGUUUUUGGGAAAUUUAAAUUGGGGGCACCCGAACCCCCGCCCGGGUGUUGUAAACUGCCCUUUUUAAAAAAAAAAAAAAAAAGAGAGAAAGGAGGGAAAGGAGACCAACCACCCCCGCUUUUGGGGAAAAAGGGAAAGAUAAGACAAACCACAAAGGGCCCCUCUGGGGGUUAUGAAAAAAGGAGCCCCCCACUCGGUCAAA
This 989-nucleotide ribosomal RNA is filed under the name Curvularia sp. RNAcentral describes it as "partial 28S ribosomal RNA". It matches the Rfam family "Eukaryotic large subunit ribosomal RNA", at positions 1 to 638 of the family's 3401-position model. Lineage: Eukaryota; Fungi; Ascomycota; Dothideomycetes; Pleosporales; Pleosporaceae. The record is from RNAcentral.